RNAcentral lists this transfer RNA (85 nucleotides) under Xylariaceae sp. FL0255. RNAcentral describes it as "tRNA-Gln". It matches the Rfam family "tRNA". From Rfam's summary of the family: Transfer RNA (tRNA) molecules are approximately 80 nucleotides in length. Their secondary structure includes four short double-helical elements and three loops (D, anti-codon, and T loops). Further hydrogen bonds mediate the characteristic L-shaped molecular structure. tRNAs have two regions of fundamental functional importance: the anti-codon, which is responsible for specific mRNA codon recognition, and the 3' end, to which the tRNAs corresponding amino acid is attached (by aminoacyl-tRNA synthetases). tRNAs cope with the degeneracy of the genetic code in two manners: having more than one tRNA (with a specific anti-codon) for a particular amino acid; and 'wobble' base-pairing, i.e. permitting non-standard base-pairing at the 3rd anti-codon position. The record is from RNAcentral. Lineage: Eukaryota; Fungi; Ascomycota; Sordariomycetes; Xylariales; Xylariaceae.
GGUCGCGUCGUCUAGCGGUUAGGACAUAGGAUUUUGACUAAAUCCAAGAUUUCCUGGAGCCUGGGUUCGAUUCCCAGCGUGACCU